AUACUGUGUCCCCCCUAAAGGUCCUGACACACCAAGCCGACUGUCAGUCUAUACUGUGUCCCCCCCUAAAGGUCCUGACACACCAAGCGGACUGUCGGUCUAUACUGUGUCCCCCCUAAAGGUCCUGACACACCAAGCCGACUGUCAGUCUAUACUGUGUCCCCCCCUAAAGGUCCUGACACACCAAGCGGACUGUCGGUUUAAACUGUGCCCCCCUAAAGGUCCAUUCUGAGACAGGAAAAUUGUUUGUUUGAUUCCUGCAGCUCUUGACCUCUCUCUGCCCUCCGCUGCGUCUCUCAGGCUGUAACCCUGUUUCUCUGCCCUCCGCUGCGUCUCUCAGGCUGUAACCCUGUUUCUCUGCCCUCCGCUGCGUCUCUCAGGCUGUAACCCUGUUUCUCUGCCCUCCGCUGCGUCUCUCAGGCUGUAACCCUGUUUCUCUGCCCUUCGCUGCGUCUCUCAGGCUCCAUCCCUGUUUUUUCACCUUUUUGUUGGCUUGUUGUUUUUAAGUUUCUCUCCCUGGCUGCUUCUAACACGCUGUCUUCUCUUCACAGCAGUGUCCCCCAAGAUUUAACAGUUGGUACCAAGAGAGGACCUGAAGAGCUUUUCUCCAGCGUCACCAACGGCCCGUAUAUCAUGAGCACCACAGGUCAGACAUGCUAUUAUAUAAUAUUAAUAUAGUAUUAUAAUAAUACUCUGAUCAUGUUCUGAUGCUGAUGAAAUACACACACGAUGUCUGUCCGGUUAAA
Long non-coding RNA from Perca fluviatilis (European perch), 746 nucleotides. RefSeq lists it as uncharacterized. The transcript is spliced from 3 exons. NCBI's taxonomy places the organism in Eukaryota, Metazoa, Chordata, Actinopteri, Perciformes, Percidae. The record is from RefSeq and is a predicted model, not a curated record.